UUUCAUAUUUUCCAAUUUAAUGGUUUAUUCUGUUAAAACUUUCCCUUUUAGAGCUCUUCAACAUAAAUUUUCUUCCUUUGUUUCUCUUUAAAUUGUUGAUAUUAUUUUUCUCAUACUUCAUAGACUAUUUUUUUUCUUAUUUAUCGGGUGUUUCAUUAUCAAGUUUGUUUUUUUAAAUUUUUUUCUCAAAUUUCUUCCAGUCCAAUUUAGCAUCUAAAUUUCAUGGUUGAUGUCAUUAUUGUUAGCCUAUUACCCACUAAUUUCAUGGUUAAAUUGAAGACUCUAAACUCUUGUUCAUCUUCUCAUUCAAUUCUCUAGUGCUACUUUCAAUAAAAAUUUUCAGGUUCUCUUCAUCUUCUCAAGCCCCUCACCAUUUCAGAGAUGAUCCAAUACUUUCUGAAGACUCCACAUCAAAGAUGAGGAUCGUAUGGAUAUGUUAACGUCAAUUCCACUAGGAGAACUAUAUUCCUGUUAUUUUUGCAGAAGAUGUAAUUUCCAGUGACAUGCCAAGAAAAAAGGAAUGGUAAGAUUGACACUAAGUACUAAGUACUAAUUAGUAAGUUAUUUUGCCAAACAUUAUUUUGAUGGUUGAUCCGGAAUCAUUGUACAUUCUCAUGUUCAACUAUGCAUUUUAAUUAUUUUUAUUAAUCAAAUUGUUUCCGAGAAUAGAUAGCUUAGCUCAUUUUGUUAAUUUAUGUUAUUUCUUCCUUUUUCGUUUUUUAUAUGGGUUAUAAUCCUGUUGCAUACAUUAAUUUGUUAUUUGAUGUUUGUUCUGUUUUUAUGUGGGUUUGGUCUUUUUAAUUGUGAGGAUGCUAUAUAAUUUUUUCAGCACAUUUUGAACUUAUAUUUUCAAAGUUUGUCCACUCAAGGAUUGUCUACGAUCAGAUUGUGUUUUUGUUAUCCUUACGAAUAUUUUAAGUGAUUAAAAAUUUAAGAUUGGGUAAACCAUUAAUUACGGAAAGGAAAGUGUCAUUGAGCUUCCAUGUGGAGUAAAACGUUCAUCAUGUCAUCCGCUAUGAAGGUUAUGGAGCAAAAAACAUUUGAAUUAUACCUAGGUAAAUACAACCUUUCUUGAGUUAUCUCACUAUGAGUCUUAAACAUUUUUUGUUUUUUUGGUUUAUUAAUGUAGGUUGUAAUAAAGAUCAGGAGUAUAUAAAAAGGUUCUUCUAAUUUCGAAUUUUUCAUCCCUCUGGAAUACAUUUCUUGGUUGCCCAAUGUAUUGCAAAUGACAUAUUUUUUCGAGGAAGGAAUGUAUUUGAGAGGGGAUAGAUUUGUAUCCGAGAGAAAUAGAGAUGUAUCCAAGAGAGGAUUAUAAUAUCAUAAGUUGUAAAUUUAUGUAACUUUUUCAACAAAAUAUGUGAAAUUAUAUCGGGCCCGUAUUACGGGCAUUAAA
Long non-coding RNA from Solanum lycopersicum (tomato), 1393 nucleotides. RefSeq lists it as uncharacterized. Lineage: Eukaryota; Viridiplantae; Streptophyta; Magnoliopsida; Solanales; Solanaceae. The record is from RefSeq and is a predicted model, not a curated record.